RNAcentral lists this long non-coding RNA (462 nucleotides) under Varroa destructor (honeybee mite). Its description in RNAcentral is "uncharacterized LOC111245388, transcript variant X2". Lineage: Eukaryota; Metazoa; Arthropoda; Arachnida; Mesostigmata; Varroidae. The record is from RNAcentral.
UUGAGAUGUGUCUUGUGGGUAUUCGUGUUAGUAGAAGACGAAGGGACUUUUUUUGAUGUUGUUGGUACCGCUUCAACAAAGCCACUCGUCGUAAAAAAAACUGUUUAGUCUGUGCUAGCAGUUGCAUUUGUGGCGGUGGAUGCUGGUUGUGAUUAUGCACAGAGAGAGAAAGGAGCUUGAAGAUUAGGCUUAUUGCAACUAAAAAACGAGAGGUCCAUGAACGUUAAAAGGAUGCUUCAACGAGAAACGCAUAGAAUUUCCGUGUGGUAAACAGGGUCACGUCAACCCAAUGGCGGAUCCACCACUGAUCUAGAACUCGGAUUAGUUAAGCUCUUAACGAUAACUGGUGUCCUGGCCGAGCCCAGAGCAUAACUUCAUGCAGGUGUGUGGCGAGCUGGCACGAUGGUGUCCUUGACGAAGAGCGUGUCGAGGUGAAAGUAACGUGUGGUCUUCCGGAUGACU